RNAcentral lists this unclassified non-coding RNA (230 nucleotides) under Hevea brasiliensis (rubber tree). Lineage: Eukaryota; Viridiplantae; Streptophyta; Magnoliopsida; Malpighiales; Euphorbiaceae. The record is from RNAcentral.
GAUUCAACAGGGCGAGGAAAUGGCGAGAAGAGCGGAAGAGGAGUACGAUUACUUGUUUAAGGUUGUAUUAAUCGGCGAUUCAGGAGUCGGAAAAUCCAACUUGCUUUCCCGAUUCACCAGAAAUGAGUUUCUCUUAGAGUCCAAAUCCACUAUCGGCGUUGAAUUCGCCACUCGUACACUCCAGGUUGAGGGAAGGACCGUCAAGGCUCAGAUUUGGGACACAGCUGGAC